GAUGAACGCUAGCGGCAGGCCUAAUACAUGCAAGUCGAGGGGCAGCGGGGUAGCAAUACUGCCGGCGACCGGCGCACGGGUGCGUAACACGUAUGCAACCUACCUUAAACUGGGAGAUAGCCCGGGGAAACUCGGAUUAAUACCCCAUAAUACAUUUGGUUCACAUGAAUUGAUUGUUAAAGAUUUAUCGGUUUAAGAUGGGCAUGCGUUCGAUUAGCUAGUUGGUAAGGUAACGGCUUACCAAGGCUACGAUCGAUAGGGUGUCUGAGAGGAUGAUCCCCCACACUGGUACUGAGAUACGGACCAGACUCCUACGGGAGGCAGCAGUAGGGAAUAUUGGUCAAUGGAGGCAACUCUGACCCAGCCAUGCCGCGUGUAGGAAGAAGGCGUUCUGAGUUGUAAACUACUUUUGAUUGGGAACAAAUGACUCUUGCGAGAGUAGCUGAGUGUACCAAUAGAAUAAGCCACGGCUAACUACGUGCCAGCCGCCGCAGUAA
Molecule: ribosomal RNA, 497 nt
Filed under: uncultured bacterium
Lineage: Bacteria
Description: partial 16S ribosomal RNA
Rfam family: Bacterial small subunit ribosomal RNA
Source: RNAcentral